CAUUGGUUAAUUAUAUUCUAUAAUAAAGGACCAAUAUGUUUGUUUGUGGAAAGGUUAUGUUAGUAAUUAUACAUAUUUUACUUUAACUGGGUUCUUUUUAGAAGCAUGCCACCUCAGCAGACCAAGAAUCUCAACAAAGAAACUGCCGGAGAAUGUUCCAUCAGAGUCUCUGUCAGCACUACAUCAUCAGUCAGAUACUAAGCAACUUCAGGGGUUGCAGACUUUGGACAAACUUGUUGGACAUCCACCACAAGAGAAGAGUGAUGUAGCCGGUGAGAGAACUUUUCCUGGCCUGUUCUUGUAGCCCUUUACAUACAGCAAGCAACUAAUUUUUUCUUUAAGAAUUGAAUCUCCUUUUUGACUAAUUUUUUUACUGGAAUAUUGUCAAAAUGCUGUGGCCGUUGUGUAACUCCAAAAUAAAUCAUACUUUAAGUUGA
Long non-coding RNA from Clarias gariepinus (North African catfish), 437 nucleotides. RefSeq lists it as uncharacterized. The transcript is spliced from 2 exons. The record is from RefSeq and is a predicted model, not a curated record. NCBI's taxonomy places the organism in Eukaryota, Metazoa, Chordata, Actinopteri, Siluriformes, Clariidae.